AAAGAAUUCUAGUGGCUGCAACCUUGCUGUUGAUAUAUGGAGUCUUGGGUGCACCGUCUUAGAAAUGGCUACAUCAAAGCCUCCUUUUAGCCAGUAUGAAGGGGUUGCUGCUAUGUUUAAGAUUGGGAAUAGUAAAGAGCUCCCAACUAUACCAGAACAGCUCUCAGAUGAAGCUAAAGAUUUUGUGAGGAAGUGCUUGCAG
RNAcentral lists this unclassified non-coding RNA (202 nucleotides) under Hevea brasiliensis (rubber tree). The record is from RNAcentral. Lineage: Eukaryota; Viridiplantae; Streptophyta; Magnoliopsida; Malpighiales; Euphorbiaceae.